Non-coding RNA from Gekko japonicus, 1654 nucleotides. NCBI's taxonomy places the organism in Eukaryota, Metazoa, Chordata, Lepidosauria, Squamata, Gekkonidae. The record is from the annotation of a RefSeq genome assembly.
GUUUCCUCAGUCAGCUGUAGCCUUUGGAUUGCUACUCAAAGCGGUCCUUCUCUUUUCCCCCUUGUUAUACCCUCUGCAAGCAUCCCAAGCGACGGACUCAUGACCAUCGGGUGCCUCGCCAAGGACGUCCUACCUGCCUUGGUCAGUUUCAGCUGGAAUGAUUACAACAACAUCAGUAUCAAUGCAGAGUAUGUUACACAAUACCCCACUAUUGGCAAUUCUUCUGGGCCAUACUCUUCGGUCUCCCAGGUGACGGUCUCUGCCCAUGACUGGCGGAAUUUUCAACCGUUCUUCUGCAAAGCUGAACACGUCGAUGGAGAAGCGCAAGUCAUUCGUCAUACCUCAUGCACUGAGCCUGAAAUGAUCAUCCGUGCGCCCCGCCUAGAAGAUUUCGAGAACUCUGGUCCAAAUGCCACCAUCGUCUGCAUGGCUGCCAAUUUGCACACUAAAAGCAUCACAGUUCAGUGGCUGAAGGAUGGACGUGUGCUCGACGGGGGCGUCGCCAACACUGGACCAGUCGCAGUGGGUCCUAGCGGCUACAGCAUCAUCAGUGAGCUCGCAGUCGACAGGAGGGACUGGAUCUCUGACAAGAGAUUCUCCUGCGAAGUGCACAACGAGAACUUCACCAGCAUCAAGAAUAUCAGCAAGUCCCUUGUCUGUGAUAUGGGUCCUUGUUCAGAUGUGCAAGUCCGCGUGGAGACCAUCCCACCAUCCUUUACUGAUAUUUUCAUGACCAAGUCAGCCAAGCUGACCUGCAGAAUCUCCAACAUGCCCUAUGAUCAGGAACUUAAAGAACUGAGCGUCACCUGGACACGAGAACGUGACAACACACAGCUGGAGACCGUAAUUGGGGAGUCUAUCGCACAAGAAGACAAUGAAUUCAUAUUUGUAGACGCAACAGCAACUGUGUGCCCAGAAGAAUGGGACAGUGGGGACACCUUUAAGUGCAAAGUUACUAUUCCCUCCCUUCUUCCCACAGCUGAAACAAGAACCCUGCAGAAGCUUCAAGGUGGGACUCCCCACGCACCUGCUGUCUAUGUCCUCCCCCCACCCUCAGAACAACUGACUUUACAGGAGACGGCCACCCUCACUUGCCUGAUGAAAGGUUUCUACCCCAAUGAAUUCUUUGUGAAGUGGCUCCGGAAUGAUGAGCCUGUGGGAGACUCAGAGUACUUCAUCAGCCAACCCAUACAGGAAUCCAAGACCCCCGAGCGGUACUUCACCUAUAGCACGUUGAAUGUCAAAGAGCAGGACUGGAGUUAUGGAGUCAUUUACACUUGCGUGGUGGGACACGAGGCGCUUCCCCUUCAGACAACCCAGAAGACCAUAGACAAGAAUACGGCCUACCUUGAUGGGAUUGUAGCCACUGAUGAUGAUGAAGGACUCUCAAACAUCUCAUCCAACUUUUCCACCAUCAUCAUCCUCUUCCUUGUGAGCCUUUUCUACAGCGCAACCGUGACUGUCAUCAAGGUGAAAUAACAACGGCAACGACAUUGGGCAACGAUUCAUCAGUGGCUUAAGUCAGACUCCACCAUCUUUCAUUUUCUUUCAUCACCUACAUAAUAAAAAGCCUCUCCAUCCUCUUUUGUGAGAAGAUUGGAUUAAAUUAUUUUCUUGCUUCUUUUCCUUUCCAAAUGCCAUGUGAAAUAGCAAU